AUAAAAAAAGCGAUKGAUAWUUGCAUUAAGUUUCGGCCUUAAAAUAGAAARAAUUUUCUUUUUAUA
This 66-nucleotide transfer RNA is filed under the name Succinea putris (European ambersnail). RNAcentral describes it as "tRNA-Arg". Lineage: Eukaryota; Metazoa; Mollusca; Gastropoda; Stylommatophora; Succineidae. The record is from RNAcentral.